Macaca mulatta (Rhesus monkey) is the source of this 1678-nucleotide non-coding RNA. Lineage: Eukaryota; Metazoa; Chordata; Mammalia; Primates; Cercopithecidae. The record is from RefSeq and is a predicted model, not a curated record.
CUCCAGCUUGGGUGACAGAGUGACAGCCUGUAUCUAAAAAAAAAAAAAAGGGAGAGAGAGAGAGAGGAUCAGAUCUACCUGGAGAGGUCAGAGAAGGUUUCCAUAGAGAAUAAAACUUGAGCUACAUUUUGAAGAAUGAGGGGGGAAUACAAGGAGGGAAAAAUAACAGGAACAAGACCUGUUCCUGUUACAGCAAACCUGUAACUCCCGCCAUGGAAUGGGCACAUUUUCCUGUAGACAGUUGGAGCAAGUAUGGGCUUCAAGCUUAGGGGGCUGAUAUGAUCACUUGUCAAUCUGAAGAUGACUCUUGCAACAGUGUAGAGGAUAGGGUGAGGUGGAUAGGUUGGCGGCCGACAGACUAGGUCAGUGUAGAGGAUAGGGUGAGGUGGAUAGGUUGGCGGCUGACAGACUAGGUCAGUGUAGAGGAUAGGGUGAGGUGGAUAGGUUGGUGACCAGUGUAGAGGACACGGUGAGGUGGAUAGGUUAGUGGCCAGUGUAGAGGACAGGGUGAGGUGGAUAGGUUGGUGACCAGUGUAGAGGACACGGUGAGGUGGAUAGGUUAGUGGCCAGUGUAGAGGACAGGGUGAGGUGGAUAGGUUGGUGGCCAGUGUAGAGGAUAGGAUGAGGUGGAUAGGUUAGUGGCCAGUGUAGAGGACAGGGUGAGGUGGAUAGGUUGGUGACCAGUGUAGAGGACAGGGUGAGGUGGAUAGGUUAGUGGCCAGUGUAGAGGACAGGGUGAGGUGGAUAAGUUGGUGACCAGUGUAGAGGACAGGGUGAGGUGGAUAGGUUGGUGGCCAGUGUAGAGGACAGGGUGAGGUGGAUAGGUUAGUGGCCAGUGUAGAGGACAGGGUGAGGUGGAUAGGUUGGUGACCAGUGUAGAGGACAGGGUGAGGUGGAUAGGUUAGUGGCCAGUGUAGAGGACAGGGUGAGGUGGAUAGGUUGGUGGCCAGUGUAGAGGACAGGGUGAGGUGGAUAGGUUGGUGGCCAGUGUAGAGGAUAGGGUGAGGUGGACAGGUUGGUGACCAGUGUAGAGGACAGGGUGAGGUGGAUAGGUUGGUGGCCAGUGUAGAGGACAGGGUGAGGUGGAUAGGUUGGUGACCAGUGUAGAGGACAGGGUAAGGUGGAUAGGUUAGUGGCCAGUGUAGAGGAUAGGGUGAGGUGGAUAGGUUGGCGGCCGACAGACUAGGUCAGGAGAGGGCUGACCAAGAGGAGGAGGGGUGACGAGGGCUGGAACCAAGGCAUAUGAGCUGCAAUGGAAAGAAGCUAGGUAGAAGAGAAAUAAAAACCGUCAGAACUGUGGAACCAACUCCAUGGGAGGGAUAAGAAGAAGGCCUAUUCUAGGGUGAAACCCAAAUUUCUGGCAUGGUACCAUUAACCCAGACAGAAAGAGUAGAUUUUCAGAGAAAGAAAAAGAAACAAAUUUUUGGGGAGGUGAGUGUGAGCUCUCUAGAGAAUAUGCAGGUAGAACUACAUGUUAACUGUAGCAUAUACUUGUCUGCACCUCAGGAGAUGACUGAUUAAGAAUUCAGGAUUCAGGCCAGGCACGGUGGCACACACCUUUAAUCCCAGCUGCUUAAGAGACUGAGGCGGCAGGAUUGCUUGAGCCUGGGAAUCCGAGACCAGCCUGGGCAACAUAGCAAGACACUGUCUCAAAAAAAAAGAGAAGAAAAAAAAGAAA